Molecule: ribosomal RNA, 468 nt
Filed under: uncultured bacterium
Lineage: Bacteria
Description: partial 16S ribosomal RNA
Rfam family: Bacterial small subunit ribosomal RNA
Source: RNAcentral
GACGAACGCUGGCGGCGUGCUUAACACAUGCAAGUCGAACGGAAAGGCCCUGCUUUUGUGGGUUGCUCGAGUGGCGAACGGGUGAGUAACACGUGAGUAACCUGCCCUUGACUUUGGGAUAACUUCAGGAAACUGGGGCUAAUACCGGAUAUGAGCUCCUGCUGCAUGGUGGGGGUUGGAAAGUUUCGGCUGUUGGGGAUGGACUCGCGGCUUAUCAGCUUGUUUGUGGGGUAGUGGCUUACCAAGGCUUUGACGGGUAGCCGGCCUGAGAGGGUGACCGGCCACAUGGGGACUGAGAUACGGACCAGACGCCUACGGGAGGCAGCAGUGGGGAAUAUGGCACAAUGGGCGGAAGCCUGAGGCAGAAACGCCGCGUGCGGGAUGACGGGCUUCGGGUUGUAAACCGAUGUCGACUGUGACGAAGAGUGAGUGACGGUAAUGGGUAAAGAAGCACCGGCUAACUACGUG